GUAAAAGUCGUAACAAGGUUUCCGUAGGUGAACCUGCGGAAGGAUCAUUACAGAAUGAAAAGUGCUUAACUGCAUUUUUUCUUACACAUGUGUUUUUCUUUUUUUGAAAACUUUGCUUUGGUAGGCCUUCUAUAUGGGGCCUGCCAGAGAUUAAACUCAACCAAAUUUUAUUUAAUGUCAACCGAUUAUUUAAUAGUCAAAACUUUCAACAACGGAUCUCUUGGUUCUCGCAUCGAUGAAGAACGCAGCGAAAUGCGAUAAGUAAUAUGAAUUGCAGAUAUUCGUGAAUCAUCGAAUCUUUGAACGCACAUUGCGCCCUUUGGUAUUCCAAAGGGCAUGCCUGUUUGAGCGUCAUUUCUCCCUCAAACCCUCGGGUUUGGUGUUGAGCGAUACGCUGGGUUUGCUUGAAAGAAAGGCGGAGUAUAAACUAAUGGAUAGGUUUUUUCCACUCAUUGGUACAAACUCCAAAACUUCUUCCAAAUUCGACCUCAAAUCAGGUAGGACUACCCGCUGAACUUAAGCAUAUCAAUAGCCGGGAAGGAA
This 543-nucleotide small RNA is filed under the name Lodderomyces parapsilosis. RNAcentral's name for it is "eukaryotic LSU rRNA". The stretch from base 201 to 354 matches the Rfam family "5.8S ribosomal RNA". Lineage: Eukaryota; Fungi; Ascomycota; Pichiomycetes; Serinales; Debaryomycetaceae. The record is from RNAcentral.